CAAGUCGAGCGGUAGAGAGAAGCUUGCUUCUCUUGAGAGCGGCGGACGGGUGAGUAAUGCCUAGGAAUCUGCCUGGUAGUGGGGGAUAACGUUCGGAAACGGACGCUAAUACCGCAUACGUCCUACGGGAGAAAGCAGGGGACCUUCGGGCCUUGCGCUAUCAGAUGAGCCUAGGUCGGAUUAGCUAGUUGGUGAGGUAAUGGCUCACCAAGGCUACGAUCCGUAACUGGUCUGAGAGGAUGAUCAGUCACACUGGAACUGAGACACGGUCCAGACUCCUACGGGAGGCAGCAGUGGGGAAUAUUGGACAAUGGGCGAAAGCCUGAUCCAGCCAUGCCGCGUGUGUGAAGAAGGUCUUCGGAUUGUAAAGCACUUUAAGUUGGGAGGAAGGGUUGUAGAUUAAUACUCUGCAAUUUUGACGUUACCGACAGAAUAAGCACCGGCUAACUCUGUGCGAGCAGCCGCGGUAAUACAGAGGGUGCAAGCGUUAAUCGGAAUUACUGGGCGUAAAGCGCGCGUAGGUGGUUUGUUAAGUUGGAUGUGAAAUCCCCGGGCUCAACCUGGGAACUGCAUUCAAAACUGACUGACUAGAGUAUGGUAGAGGGUGGUGGAAUUUCCUGUGUAGCGGUGAAAUGCGUAGAUAUAGGAAGGAACACCAGUGGCGAAGGCGACCACCUGGACUAAUACUGACACUGAGGUGCGAAAGCGUGGGGAGCAAACAGGAUUUAGAUACCCUGGUAGCCACGCCGUAAACGAUGUCAACUAGCCGUUGGAAGCCUUGAGCUUUUAGUGGCGCAGCUAACGCAUUAAGUUGAUCGCCUGGGGGAGUACAGCCGCAAGGUAAAACUCAAAUGAAUUGACGG
This 863-nucleotide ribosomal RNA is filed under the name uncultured bacterium. RNAcentral describes it as "bacterial SSU rRNA". It matches the Rfam family "Bacterial small subunit ribosomal RNA", at positions 58 to 916 of the family's 1533-position model. The record is from RNAcentral.